UUUUUCUUUUCUUUCUUUUUUUUUUCUUUUGGUGUAACAGUAUCGCAUGAGCCAAGACUGUCAUGAAACUAUUUGGAUACUGUACUCUGGUUCCUUCAUCUCCUCCAUCUGCAUCAGCCUAAAUUGUCCUAGAGCCUCUGCCAUGAACCCGGGGAUAAGUGAGGAAAGAAAUUUUUCCUCCUUCACAGUAUCAAGUGCCAGGCCAGGGCACUUUGUCCAGGCCUCACUGUGAAGAAAGAGUAAUGUUCAAGGAUGGCAGCAGGAAGGACCCUAAUGAAGAGGUUUAUCUGAUUGGUUUACUGGAGUCCUAUGUGGGAUGAAUAGCUUCAGCCUUUGCGCUUGCACCUCUUUGCUGUCCACUCCAAUCAAGAACGGGGGCCCUCGCAACUCUCUCAGUUCUGAAACAAAUUAAAUCUCAGUGACAGACUC
RNAcentral lists this long non-coding RNA (429 nucleotides) under Homo sapiens (human). RNAcentral's name for it is "non-protein coding KIRREL3-AS2:3". The record is from RNAcentral. Lineage: Eukaryota; Metazoa; Chordata; Mammalia; Primates; Hominidae.